Molecule: ribosomal RNA, 373 nt
Filed under: uncultured organism
Description: partial 16S ribosomal RNA
Rfam family: Bacterial small subunit ribosomal RNA
Source: RNAcentral
GUAGGUGGCAAGCGUUGUCCGGAAUUAUUGGGCGUAAAGCGCGCGCAGGCGGUUCUUUAAGUCUGAUGUGAAAGCCCACGGCUCAACCGUGGAGGGUCAUUGGAAACUGGAGAACUUGAGUACAGGAGGGGAAAGCGGAAUUCCACGUGUAGCGGUGAAAUGCGUAGAGAUGUGGAGGAACACCAGUGGCGAAGGCGGCUUUCUGGUCUGUAACUGACGCUGAGGCGCGAAAGCGUGGGGAGCAAACAGGGAUUAGAUACCCUGGUAGUCCACGCCGUAAACGAUGAGUGCUAAGUGUUAGGGGGUUUCCCGCCCCUUAGUGCUGCAGCUAACGCAUUAAGCACUCCGCCUGGGGAGUACGGCCGCAAGGCUG